UUUUUUUUUUUUUUUUUUUUAAAGCUCCCUGACGACUCAAAUGUUUGCUACUGAAAGAAGGGAUUUGCAGAUACCUGUUAGGUACCAAAGAUAUUUAUUGCAGUGGACUAAGGAAAAAAAUCCAAGCCUGGAGACCCAGGUCCAUUAACCUGGUUGGAGGCCUUAAGAAGAGGCGCCUUGUAGGUAAAGAGCAUUGUAAAAAUAAAUUAGGAGUUUGGGGUAUCAGAAGCCUUGAAGGAUGGUCAGAGGUGAGGGAGCGCUACCUUCCAUGCAGCCUCUCUCUUAUGAGUGACAGCAGUGACAUCCUAGCUCCGGGACUGAGGACUGGCUGCACUGUGGCGUCUUAAGAAAAUAUUCACCACAAGAGUAUGUUCAAAGCAGCUUUAGAUCUUUUCUUUUGUUCCGUUUUAAAGUGGUUUUUGAGCAUUUCACGUCAACUUUCUUGAAAAGUGCUUUGACCAACACCUGAGGCUUGGAAUUGACAAAAAAAAAAAAAAAAAAAAAUGCCCCUGCUUGUAUUUUAUCGCCAAUGCUUGAAUUCUGUUUAAGAUAUUUCUGACAGUAUAGCUAGCUGGAAAGUAACACUUUGGCAUAUAAUUUUUUUGAACUUUUUGACUUUGAUUAAGAAGACAUUUACAGACUGAUAAUAAAAGCAUAUUCUGUUCUCUCUAGGAGACCAUUGUGAUACCCCUGAUAUUACCAUAAUAUUUUGACAUUUCAUUUUAAAGGCUUAUUAUGUAUUGGAGCAAGACCAUAAAAGAGAAAACUUUCAUAAAUUUUAAAAGUGGUGGUGUCCUUCAGUAUUUUCAUGGCUUUUUUCUCCCCCCCCCCCCUUUAGAAGUCUUGCUUUGUAAACAAGGCCUUUGUUUGUCAAACUCCCCUAGGUCAGCAGCUUUUUGAUACUCUAGAGAAAUAAUAAAUCACGAUUUGUGACAUCUUGACAUGCUGCCAUGAGGACAACUGAAUUAUCACAAAUAUAAUGCUAGGCAGUGUUUGCCAGCACUAGCGUAUUGAGGGAGUGUUGAUAGGACCUGAUUUCAACCAGCACAAGUUUUGAUUCCCAUUAUUUGUGGUCAAGAUGAUUUUAAGGGGAGCCAUGGACAAUUUGUUGCUUAACAUGAGUGGACUUGGAGAACUCCCUAUAAAUGAGUCACUUUUCUCCCCAGCAGUAUUUCUGGUGAACAGAUGAGAAAAUUUCCCUAAUGUGAAAGCCAUAUUUGGGAGCUACUUUUCUGAUUUUUUUCUCUUGUCACUUUUUUAUGUGAAAGAAUUAUCUUCUGAAUCACUCCUUGUCCCUAAAUGUGUUCUGGUGGAUUGUUUUCGACCAACAGAGGAUGCUGAAUUCUCUGUCAUCUUUGGAAGACUUUGCAUUAUGGAACUUUAAUCUUUAGCCAGUUGAAAAAGUCCUGGGUCAUUCCGUAAGUGGUUGGGAGCAGAAGAUAUGGAAGGUGGUGAAGCUAUUUAGUAGAGUGUUUAGGAAGGCCUGAGACGUUUCUUUUUUGUACAUAGAAAGUCAUGACUUUCUCUUUCUUUGCCAGAGAAUACAGAAGUCUAAAACUUAGUUCUGCCAGAAUCGUUGUGGAAGACAGCAUGUUUAUUUUGAGGUUAUUUACCAGCAAGUUAAAUGGGAUCUUGCAACGUCGGUUUGGAAAACUUUUAUGACCUUAUUACGGUUUAUUAUCCCUUCUUUUUCUCUCAUGUUAAUAUGGUACUUUUCAUUGACAGUAUUGAGGGUACAUUAAAGAUUUUAAGUAAUACAGGCAUUAAAGAUACAGUCAAAGAUGCUAGAAUAAUUAUACCUUAGCAAAAUAUAGAAUGGAGCUGAUGAAAUUCAGGAGCCAGAUAGCUGGGUCUUUUCGGAUGUUGGGUAUAAGCACCGUUUAGUCUUAAUUAUGAGUGAAUAACUCAUUAAUUCACUCUUUUGGAGUGAUGGUUUAGAUAUGGACUACGGAAUUUGUUUUUGAGAUUUUAUUUAUUUCUUUGAAACAGAGAGGACGAGCAGGGGGAGGGGCGGAGGGAGACAGAGAAACAGACUUUGUGUUGAGCACUGAACAGGACAUAAGGCUCGAUUCCAGGAUCCUGAGAUCAUGACCUGAGCUGAAGGCGGACACUUCACCGACUGAGCCACCCAGGCGCCCAGUCGACAGAAUUUUUGACUGAAAUAUUGACAUAAAUGGUGCCCUUCUGGACUUCCAGAUUUAUAACAUUAUUAUAUAACUAUAACUAUGAAUUGUGAUGGUUUCUUCAUUAUGUAAGACUUGCAGAACAUUCAGACAGUUGUAAUGAGGCUUUAUGCCUGUAUCAUGUAAAACCUUUAAAAAUCGCAGUAUUCCGUCGUAUUUUUGGGUGCGUAAGCAUCAACUUAAGCGUCGCUUUUUACACCAGGACAUUAUCUAUCUAUGGCUCUGCGAGCACUAAUGUUCUUGAAACUGUUUAGAAACAUCGAAUUUAAAUGUGGGGUGACCCUUUUGUGAAUUGUCCAGUAGAACCUAUAGAAGGCUGAAAUAAGUUUGAAAAAGCCACUAAAUAUAAAUAUAAUUCUAACUCCGCCCUCCUCCCCUUCUUUCGAAACCAAAUUCAGUAUUUGGAAAUUUAAAUCACUUAAUAAUAGAAAACAAAUCUCUGACCACAUAUAUUGUUUUAUAGGUUGACAGUGGUCCAAGGGAAAUUGUCUUAUCAGUUUUUGUUUGUGUUUUCCUUGUUUAGGGUGAUUAUGUAUUUCUUCACCUACUUGAUUUGUGUGUUCCAGUUGUCACCAUCCCACUGGAAGAUGAGUCAUUGAUGUGGAAAUUGCAUGUAUAGGAGGAAAGCCCUCUCCCACCUUCCCCCAGUGCUUUUGAAGUGGGCGUAUGUUUACCUUUGCAGUAUCUGCACCUCUUCUGUACUUUACUGCUGUGCUGUAUUCAUGUGUGUGCUAAAAUGCUGUAACUCUAAAAAAUAAACAAUCUACAGGGCACCUGAGUAACUCAUUAGGUUAAAUGUCUGCCUUUGGCUCAGGUCAUGAUCCCAGGGUCCUGGAAUCGAAUCCCAUAUUGGACUCCCUGCUCAGCUGGGAGUCUGCUUCUUCUCCUUCUGCUCCUCCCCCUAUCUCUGCUAGUGCUUUCUCUCUCUCUCUCUCUUUCUCUCUCUCUCUCAAAUAAAUAAAUAAAAUCUAAAAAAAAAUAAGAUAAAUAAACAAUCUACAAUUGAGAAUUUGUGUUUUAAAGAACGUACCUAAGCAUCUGUGGUAAACUGCACAGGCCUUGUAAUGCAGGAAGAGGUCAGGGUGAGCUGUCACGGGCCCAUGGGGUGGCCUUGCAGCCAGAGGAGGGCAGGGGUGUGAGUGUUGGGGUGCAGAUCAUCAGAAGAAAUUCCAGAGAUCACAGAGACUGAUCGGAAAAAUCCACGAGAAGGCACUUGACCUGACUAUUCAGGGAGGUUCCAGUUGGGGAGAAUUGGUGGAAGAUGACAUUGGAGAUGAUAGAAAGACUUGAUGUCCAGGCUAAUGCAUGAAUAUUUUAUCUAGUGUGUAUUGGAGGCUUGUGUCAGAAGUUUUGAUCAAGGGAAUCCAUGAGCAAAAACAUUCUAGAUUAAUCCGUGGUCUCAAGUCCAGGGUAGGUAUUGAAGCCGUUGAAAGGAUCCUGGAGAUAAUGUACAUUUUUACACCAUAACUCAUAAGGUGUCUUCAGAGGUAAUAUUUUACUUGAUUCGUAUCAGAAUUGCAGUUGUAGCCUGAGACUAUUUUGCCUGUUUUGUAGAUGAAGAUCUCGAAACUUGAAGAACUCCAAUGAACUAUGGUGGUGGUUUUUUUUAAAUGGCACGCUCAUCUGUAAAUGGCCAUGAUCCGUUUUAAUUGCAGUGAAGGUGAAGGGUUCCUUCUUGAACUUUUGUUGCUACUGUGAAAGUCAGGGCAAGUGGGGGCAUGUCAAAACCCGGCUGUCAUAUACCUGGGGCUCAUUUGGCAAGUAAGGGUUGCAUUCUGCUGCUGGGUCAUUGCAUCUCAGCCAGAAGAGUUUUAAAAAUAUAUAUUUCAGACUCUUAUAUGUUUAGUAUAUAAAUACCAUUAUCUUAGCAGAUAGAGAAGAAAGUGGCUAUCAUCGUUCUUAUCAGCAUCCCAAAUGAGGUUGUUCUGCAAAGGGGCCUAAUAGAACCUAGGAGAGAUGGUUGUGUGUGUAAACGUACGCAAGACGUUACAGGUCAGGGUGGCAUGCCCUGAAACUAGCUUUUGUUGGUUUCGUUGCUGUGGUUUGGUUUUGACCAAUUACCUAGCAAUUUAGGUUCAACUAAAUGUUGGAAAAGGUAGUAAUCCAUGAUAACCUUUAUAACUACCAAUGGACGUGGGUCCUGCGUUAGAAGGAUGCUCCAUCGUAGUACUCUUUUGUUGAGGGCCUUCUUCUGAUACUUGGGGUUUUCUCGUAACCACCCUCCUCCAGGGACUUUUUCCUUGGUGCAAACCUCGGGUGUCCUCCUGGAGGAGGUCCUGGGAUUGUAUGAUAGGCAGGCUUUUUGUGAGAAAGCAAUCCACCGCCCCUGCAGGGUGAUGAUGUUAAGUGCCAAGUUUCUGUCGAGCAUCGCCUGGGGAUGGUGGGGGCAAGAAUUAGCUGCUGCAGUGUUUGUGUUCCCUCUCAUCCCACACAGAGCUGCCCACCCCCCCACGCCCUGAGCCUUGGCCAGGUUUUAACUCUGGGCAAGGACAGUCCCAGGGCAGGUUAUUUAAAGGAAGGGCAGCCACGAACGUUGUAAUUUGCUUCCUUGACUGUACAACCGAAGGGCCCACAGAAGCCUGACAAAUAGAGCACCGUGUUUUAAUCCAGCCCCUGUUUUUGUUUUAAGAUUUUAUUUACUUAUUCAUGGGAGACAUACAGAGAGAGGCAGAGGGAGAAGCAGGCUCCCUGUAGGGAGCAUGCUGCGGGACUUGAUCCCAGGACCCCAGGAUCACAACCUGAGCCAAACUCAGACACUCAACCACUGAGCCAUGCAGGUGCCCAAUCCAGCCGCUUUUUAAGAUCUAGUUGACUUCGAGUGGGGAAGCUAAAAGUGAACAGUUUAGCACACGAAGGAAAGAAGAAUGUAUUCCAUCAGUAAGGCCACUGAAUCAGUGACAGGUCAUUUUUGUCAUGACACAAUGCACCUUAUUUAUGAUGGGGAAAAAGUCACAGGAAUUUCCAUGUCUGUCAAGCUUUGAAAGAGCACUAGGAGGAAAAUGCUUUCCAGGUUUUUCUCGAGUCUUGGGUCCAGGAUCAUGUAAUGUUUCACACUAGGCCCAGCGUGGUUUUUCACGGUGCGGAGUGUUUAAAGUUGUAUGUCUCAGAUGGAGAGGCAGGAGGACUUUGGUCAUGUCUCACCGUCUAUCCAGGCAACCUUGGUCUCUAAAAAAGAAACUUCUGGUAGAUUUAUGUCCUUUAUCUCCACUGCCGUUCUUACCCACUGCCCGCUCCCCCGUUAAGAAUAGCAGCGCUUCUGUUCUACUUGGAGAGAUGUUGCUACUUCUUGUAGGGGAAUUAUCAAUUCCUUUAUAGAGAAAGCUACAUAGAAAAGCGAGAAGCCCUUCAGGUCAGGAGAUGUUCUGAAUCAGCAAACAGACAUAAAAAGAACUCUUAUCUUAACUAUCUCCUGAGCCUUGCAGUUCUCCCGAAACAGCCAGAAAGACUUGAAAAAGACUGAGCUAUUCUCAGGGCUGUGAGCGGGGCCUAAUUUUUAUUUCUAAUGUUUCACCUUUGACCCGUACCCCAGUCUUUCUGUAAGUCCAGCAGCAUGAUAAAGAUGCGCUGCAAGGCCAGGAUCUGGCCAUGCUUGGUGAAGACUUAUUUAAGAGGUGCUGUCUGGUCGGGGUGGUUGUAUCUCCCCGAAACUCUCCAUGACUCGAAAGCAAACGUGUCUGGGAGACAUCCAGUUAUUUAUCUGUCUGUUUGUUUAUUUAUUGAUUUAUUUCUAUGUAUUUUUUUUCCCAAGGCCUAGCUGAAAUGGCACCUUCUCCAGGAAGCCUUCCCUCAUCCUCUCUUCCUUCCUCCACCCAGGCUGCAAGCAGUCUCUCCUGUCCACCCUUAGCUGUGUAUGCCUUCUUGUCCUGCAGGAGUUUCCAUUUGCUUUCGUUUUUGUUUUAAACAUUUAUCUGCUUAUUCAUGGGAGACACACAGAGAGAGGCAGAGACACAGCAGAGGGAGAGGCAGGCUCCCCCCUGCAAGGAUCCCGAUGCGGGACUCAAUCCCAGGACCCUGGAAUCACACCCUGAGCCGAAGGCAGAUGCUCAACCACUGAGCCAGCAGGUGCCCCAAAGAGUUUCCAGUUGUUUCCCACCCCACCCCCCAUGCUAUUUAUGGAUAAGUCCCCUUUUCCUAUCUGACUUGCAGAGCCUUGGGGGAAGCCCUUGGGGCCUCUUUGUACAUCCUACACUCCUUGUGCCUGGUGGAAAUUCGGGACAGUUGGCAAUAGAUAAGUAAACGGGGCCUCUGGAUAUUUGGUUGGACAUUACCAACCUUUGCUCAUGAGCUGUGUCCACCUCACAUUCUCUCCAGGGCUUCUCUGAACUUCACCGAUUGGUCUGUCAUCACAGCCAAACCCUGUCUGGCACAGUAUCCCUCCCAUUGCUUCCAUCUUGGCUUCUAGGCCAUUCUCUCUGCGUCCCUAUGCACGGUGGCACUCCAGCCACAGUGGAAACCCUCCACCCUGGUGGAUGGCCUUGCCCUGGGCUGGGAUGAGAGAUCAGAAGUUCCCGCUUACAGACGUGACUUUGGGCCAGCGGCAUGGUCCCUUGCUGACUUCCCACCCUCAUCUCUCGAAGGAGGAUGUGACAAAAUGUGUCCUCAACUCAGCGUUGUUCAGAUUGCUGUGAAGGCCACGCGAGCGUGUUUAAAUAUUACCACGAGAGGGCCGGGUGGUCAGUAUUCCAGCUGAUUGCCGAGGGACAGCAAGGUGUAUGUUUGGUCGCGGUUGUCAUGGUUGGACUGGCGACCCUUAAAAUUCCAGGAAGUUGAACUCCUAUUAAAUAUGCUGAUGGGUGUGCUGGGGCUCCGAGCUAAGGAGGGAGGGAAGGAGGUUUGGGCUGAGGGAAGGUGUCUGCGGUGGUUGCAGCUGUGGGAAGCUCCGCUCCGACUUUUAUUUUUAAAAACACACACUCCCCGGUUGUAAAGGCAGGGUCAGGACACAGAGAAAGAUAGGGUGUCCUGCUGAAAAUGUCUUGGCCAAGAACACAGUGACCAGUCCUCGGGGAGCACAUGAGCAGGAGGAUGGGGACUCGCGGUGCCAGGGCAUGGGGAGGCUGGGGUUGCCAGGCUUUACCGACCCCCCACCCUGGACACCUUUCCUUCAUUAUUUCAACCACUUAACUGUGGAACAGGCUGUGCUCUUCUACAUUGUGACAAUGUAUAACUGUCCCCACCUUACCACCCAACAUGAAAGAGAAGCAGAUUUUGAGCAGAUUUUGAGCGUGAGCUUGUGCACAGACACACGGCUCCUACCCUGUCCAGGUGGUCUGGGCCGUCCCUCCGCUGGCCGUCCCCGCUGUGCCCACUGCCUUCGCUGCCUGUCUGUGCCCGUCAUCAGUGCAUUGAAGGAGGAGGAAAAGGGUUCGAUUCCUAGGGACGCCGGCGGCAUGGUUGGUGAAGGAGCAGCCCAGUUGGCCAACACUGGACUUUAAACCAUAACCCCAAGACCUUGGUCACAACCCGCGCCUCCCCCUGCCUGAGAGCUGUGGGAACGUCUAGCAGCCUGCAGAAAUGAGGAGCGGGGAGAAGAGGCCAGGGCAAUGACCUCCUCUUUGAGAGUCACUCCUCUUCAGGAUACCGGGGUGCUAGUGCAAGGCAGGAAUCCAGGGGCGGCCCAGGUCCUGCCAUGGAGGUACCCCGACGUAUGCCACCGCUCACCAGGUUGGAGCACGGGGGCAAGAGGCUCUGAGUCCCUAGUGGGCAGGUGCAGGAAGCGUGGAGAUACCCUUCUCUGAAGCCCAGAAGGACCACAGAGACUGUCGAGGAAGAGCACUCUGCCCCAGGCCCCAGGGUCGGUGACAGCCCUGGGACACGAGAGGACCAAGUGGAACCCCGCGUCUCGGGACACCCAGUCAGGACAGCCAGAGUGUCCCAUUCGAGGUGUACGAUUGUCCCGGAUUCCUGCCUCAGCUGUUAGCAGGGGGCAAGGCGCCUCAGCUGUUAAAACUUCACUGUUUCUCUGGGCUACUACUUUCUCUCUUUUGUUUUUUUGUCUUGUUUUGUUUUUGUUUUUGUUUUUGUUUUUGUUUUAAUCUGUGCUGCUUCUCGGACACAUGCAGGAGGCCCAUGCAUUGGGCCGUUCUCUGCUUAUUAAGAAGUUUCUUCUACAACACGUUCCUGUGUUCACAUUCCACUUAAGUGUCCAGUAUUUUUCCACUCUUCUUCUCAUCUGUUUUCCUCUUUUAGGAGUUUCCCUUAACAAAAAACGAGGAGCAUUUAAAAUUUUUUUUUUCUUUUUUUUUCUUAUGGGACCGUAUACAAGGCAUCACAGCACUCGGCCAGAUUCCCCGCCGAAAGCGGUCGCAGAGGCACGAGGUAGUGCUGCGGGGUAACGUACACUAAAACAUACAUAAAAUGUGGAAACUGGGACUGCCAGGCGGUGUGUUUGUCUCUUCAUUGUUCAAACUGGUGGUAGGUUACCGGAAUAGCUAUUGAAGCCCAUUUCAAGGUAAACCAUAACAGGAAGUAAGCAAUU
RNAcentral lists this long non-coding RNA (8658 nucleotides) under Canis lupus familiaris (dog). RNAcentral describes it as "lncRNA (ENSCAFG00845002079.1)". The record is from RNAcentral. Lineage: Eukaryota; Metazoa; Chordata; Mammalia; Carnivora; Canidae.